UACGAAGGGGGCUAGCGUUGCUCGGAAUCACUGGGCGUAAAGGGUGCGUAGGCGGGUCUUUUAAGUCAGGGGUGAAAUCCUGGAGCUCAACUCCAGAACUGCCUUUGAUACUGAAGAUCUUGAGUUCGGGAGAGGUGAGUGGAACUGCGAGUGUAGAGGUGAAAUUCGUAGAUAUUCGCAAGAACACCAGUGGCGAAGGCGGCUCACUGGCCCGGUACUGACGCUGAGGUGCGAAAGCGUGGGGAGCAAACAGG
Molecule: ribosomal RNA, 254 nt
Filed under: uncultured bacterium
Lineage: Bacteria
Description: partial 16S ribosomal RNA
Rfam family: Bacterial small subunit ribosomal RNA
Source: RNAcentral